UUUGCCCUCCCCGGGCUCCAGAGGUUUUCCUUGAGCCUCUGGGAGGGCGAAAACAGCGUUUCCGGCCUUCCCGAACUUCCGGUGAUGUCAGUGUGGCAGCUGUUACAAAACUUCAGGGAGGAAAACAGCACGUCGUCCUCUGGAACGUUUCUCCAUCACUUGGCCUGUCUCCUUCCAUCCAUUCAACAAUCUGUUUUUUGAUUGCCCUGAUGAUGUGAACCUCAAUAUGCUGGGUGCUAAACUCUUGGCAUACAGAGGUGAAUGGAAGGUCCCCGGUGUCUGAUUUUUGCCUGCAGAUGGUUUGGCCCUGCCUGAGUGACGUUGAGUCAAAUCCACAGAGCUGUCAACCAAGAGACAGGUUGACUUCAUCCUCUUGAUGUCCCUCAGGUGAGGAUCUCUGGCAACAGGGAAGUUAACUCAAAGACGGGCCGUUGCUUCUGCCCUUUGAAGUUUGGCAUCGUGACUGUGAACAGGAAGCCUGGGGUUGAAAGCAAAUUUUUAAUACAAACGGAAUGACAUUAAUAUCACAUUUUGCCAUGAUGGGAAGAGACUACGUUGCAGGCAGCCCUUUUAAACUCCCAGCAGUGACAUUCUUUACUUGGAAAAAGGGGUAGGGGGCAGAUGCGAUGGCGGCAUCUAAUUUUGCUUCUAUCAGAAUGAAAAAGGACUUGUCAACUGGAGGGAACAGCUGAGAGACACGACUGGUAGAAUGUCGGUGCCAGAAUGUUUUGGUUAAUGCUACUUCCUGGUCUUUGUUUCCAGCCCCUUCUCUCAUGUCUUCUUUCUGUUAGAAUCGGGGGGCGAGGCCGGGCGGGGUGCAAGAACUGAAACUCAUUAAAACAACAUCAAGCC
This is a long non-coding RNA of Pantherophis guttatus, 852 nucleotides long. RefSeq lists it as uncharacterized. NCBI's taxonomy places the organism in Eukaryota, Metazoa, Chordata, Lepidosauria, Squamata, Colubridae. The record is from RefSeq and is a predicted model, not a curated record.